RNAcentral lists this long non-coding RNA (322 nucleotides) under Bos indicus x Bos taurus (hybrid cattle). RNAcentral describes it as "lncRNA (ENSBIXG00000010469.1)". Lineage: Eukaryota; Metazoa; Chordata; Mammalia; Artiodactyla; Bovidae. The record is from RNAcentral.
GAUCCUUCAGGAUGCUUCAGUAGUACCUGUAUCUUCAUCCAAAACCAUCAUGAUCCUAUUUGCCUCCCCAAGCCAGUUCUCUUCCUUACUUGCUACUGUUGCCACUGCUUCGGUUGUUUCUACUACCCAGGCCACAGUCUUCCAAGAUCCUAAUCCAUGAAAGGACCAUCAAGGAGAUAUCAGGAGAAAGGACUCUGACAAAUCAGCCUGCAGGAAAAUACAGUGUAGAAGUGAAUGUGGUCAAAAUCAAAAUCAUGAUCAUGAGAUGGUGAGAUUUAUUUCUUUUCUGCUUUUAACCGAUUGACAAGUGAAGGGACACAGA